CCUGUUUGCUUCGCAGCGAAGCUUACGUGAUGACCUUGCGAAGUGUGUUGCGCUCUGGUCGCGUCUGCGUCAGCGGCAGUCGCUGCGGCUGCGUGGCGGGUUGUCCAGGUAACCACGGGAGUUGUCGCUGCCUGGUGGCAUCUGAGAGACAGGUGUUCGUCAUGCAGUUGAAGCACCUGAGAACCCUGCUGAGCCCUCAGGAUGGAGCUGCAAAGGUGACCUGCAUGGCUUGGUCCCAGAACAAUGCCAAAUUUGCUGUCUGCACAGUGGACCGAGUGGUGUUGCUAUACGAUGAGCAUGGGGAGCGGAGAGAUAAAUUCUCCACCAAACCAGCUGACAUGAAGUAUGGCAGGAAGAGCUAUAUGGUGAAAGGCAUGGCUUUUUCUCCUGAUUCCACUAAAAUUGCCAUAGGACAGACCGACAACAUCAUCUACGUGUACAAGAUUGGAGAAGAUUGGGGUGACAAGAAAGUCAUCUGUAACAAAUUCAUCCAGACGAGUGCUGUCACGUGUCUGCAGUGGCCAGCAGAGUACAUCAUUGUCUUUGGACUGGCUGAAGGGAAGGUUCGUUUAGCAAACACUAAAACUAAUAAAUCAUCUACCGUCUAUGGGACAGAUUCUUAUGUGGUAUCACUGACGACAAAUUGCUCUGGGAAAGGAAUUCUCUCUGGUCAUGCAGAUGGUACCAUUGUUAGGUAUUUCUUUGAUGAUGAAGGCUCUGGAGAGUCACAGGGGAAGUUGGUUAACCACCCAUGCCCACCCUAUGCCUUGGCUUGGGCAACCAACAGCAUUGUGGCUGCAGGCUGUGAUCGGAGAAUUGUGGCCUAUGGAAAGGAAGGCCAUGUGCUACAAACUUUUGAUUACAGCCGUGACCCUCAGGAGCGGGAGUUCACCACAGCUGCUGCAAGUCCCGGGGGCCAGUCUGUUGUGUUGGGAAGUUAUGACAGACUUAGGGUGCUCAACUGGAGCCCUCGAAGAAGCAUCUGGGAAGAGGCAAAGCCCAAGGAGAUUGCCAACUUAUACACCGUCACUGCCUUGGCCUGGAAACGGGAUGGCUCACGACUCUGUGCGGGCACACUCUGUGGUGGAGUGGAACAGUUUGACUGCUGCCUCCGGAGGAGCAUUUACAAGAAUAAGUUUGAGUUGACGUAUGUGGGACCUAGCCAGGUGAUUGUGAAGAACCUGUCGUCGGGGACCCGAGUGGUACUCAAGUCACACUAUGGCUAUGAGGUGGAAGAGGUGAAAAUCCUGGGAAAGGAACGUUACCUGGUGGCCCACACAUCAGACACGCUGCUGCUGGGGGACCUGAACACUAAUCGCCUUAGUGAGGUAGCUUGGCAGGGAUCUGGUGGCAAUGAGAAGUAUUUCUUUGAAAAUGAAAAUGUGUGCAUGAUCUUCAAUGCUGGAGAGCUAACCCUGGUGGAAUAUGGGAGUAAUGAUACCCUGGGUUCUGUACGUACUGAAUUCAUGAACCCCCACCUCAUCAGUGUCCGUAUUAAUGAGAGGCGUCAACGAGGAAUGGAAGACAAUAAGAAAUUGGCUUAUCUUGUUGAUAUUAAGACAAUUGCCAUAGUGGAUCUGAUUGGUGGCUACAACAUUGGCACCAUCAGCCACGAGAGCCGUGUGGAUUGGCUGGAACUUAAUGAAACUGGGCACAAGCUUCUAUUCAGGGACCGGAAACUUCGUUUACAUCUGUACGAUAUUGAAAGCUGCACUAAGACAAUGAUCCUCAACUUCUGCUCCUACGUGCAGUGGGUCCCAGGAAGUGAUGUGCUCGUAGCUCAGAACCGAAACAGCUUGUGUGUGUGGUACAACAUUGAGGCACCUGAGAGGGUCACCACGUCCUCUAUUAGGGGCGAUGUGGUAGGUCUGGAGCGGGGCGGGGGGAAGACCGAGGUGAUGGUGACCGAAGGUGUGACUACGGUUGCCUACACGCUGGACGAGGGCCUGAUCGAGUUUGGAACAGCCAUUGAUGACGGCAACUACAGCCGGGCCACAGCCUUCUUGGAGACUCUGGAAAUGACCCCAGAAACAGAGGCAAUGUGGAAAACCUUGAGCAAACUGGCGCUCGAGGCACGGCAGCUCCACAUCGCCGAGAGGUGCUUUUCUGCUUUGGGCCAUGUAGCAAAAGCUCGAUUCCUGCAUGAAACCAAUGAGAUUGCAGAUCAAGUGUCUCGGGAAUAUGGUGGAGAAGGAACAGACUUUUACCAGGUCCGAGCACGCCUAGCCAUGCUGGAGAAGAACUACAAGCUGGCUGAAAUGAUCUUCUUGGAACAGAAUGCCGUUGAGGAGGCCAUGGACAUGUACCAGGAGCUGCACCGUUGGGAUGAGUGUAUCGCAGUGGCUCAGGCCAAGGGGCACCCGGCCCUGGAGAAGCUGCGCCGGGGUUACUACCAGUGGCUGAUGGACACACAGCAAGAGGAGCGAGCCGGUGAACUACAGGAGAGCCAGGGGGAUGGCCUAGCAGCCAUCAGCCUCUACCUCAAAGCUGGGCUCCCUGCCAAAGCUGCUCGACUGGUGCUGGCCCAGGAGGAACUGCUGGCCAACACCGAGCUGGUAGAACACAUCACUGCAGCCCUUAUCAAGGGGGAGCUGUACGAAAGGGCAGGUGAUCUCUUUGAGAAGAUUCGAAACCCACAGCGGGCCCUGGAGUGCUACUGUAAAGGCAGUGCAUUCAUGAAAGCGGUGGAGCUGGCUCGACUGGCAUUCCCAGUGGAAGUGGUGAGACUGGAAGAGGCGUGGGGGGAUCAUCUGGUGCAGCAGAAGCAGCUCGAUGCAGCCAUUAAUCACUACAUUGAAGCCAGGUGCUCUAUUAAGGCGGUUGACGCUGCCCUGGGCGCCCGUCAGUGGAAGAAAGCCGUUUAUAUAUUAGAUCUCCAGGACCAGAGCAUUGCAUCCAAAUACUACCCCCGCGUGGCCCAACACUAUGCAGCUCUGCAGGAGUAUGAGAUUGCUGAGGAGCUCUACAUUAAGGGAGACCGGACAAAAGAUGCAAUAGACAUGUACACUCAGGCUGGCCGCUGGGAGCAAGCCCACAAGCUGGCAAUGAAGUGCAUGAGACCAGAAGAUGUGUCGGUGCUGUACAUCACCCAGGCUCAGGAGAUGGAGAAGCAGAGCAAGUACCGUGAGGCAGAAAGGCUCUACGUGACAGUGGAAGAGCCUGAUCUUGCCAUCACCAUGUUCAAAAAGCACAAGUUGUAUGAUGAUAUGAUCCGCCUGGUAGGGAAGCACCACCCAGAUCUCCUCGGUGACACACACCUACACCUGGGCAAGGAGCUGGAGGCUGAAGGCCGACUGCAGGAGGCUGAGUAUCACUACCUCGAGGCUCAGGAGUGGAAGGCAACAGUGAACAUGUACCGGUCCAAUGGGCUUUGGGAGGAGGCCUACCGGGUGGCCAAGGCUCACGGAGGAGCUAAUGCCCACAAACACGUGGCCUAUCUGUGGGCAAAGAGUCUGGGAGGAGAGUCUGCAGUUAGACUGCUUAAUAAGCUGGGACUCCUGGAAGCUGCCAUUGACCACGCCGCUGACAACUGCUCAUUUGAAUUUGCUUUUGAACUCUCCCGGCUGGCCCUCAAGCACAAAACCCCUGAGAUACAUCUCCGAUACGCUAUGUACCUGGAGGAUGAGGGUAAAUUUGAAGAGGCUGAAGCUGAAUUCAUCAGGGCUGGUAAACCCAAGGAAGCAGUCCUCAUGUUUGUCCAUAACCAGGAUUGGGAGGCAGCUCAGCGUGUGGCCGAGGCCCACGAUCCUGACAGUGUCGCCGAGGUGCUUGUGGGGCAGGCCCGGGGGGCCUUGGAGGAGAAGGACUUUCAGAAAGCAGAAGGACUGCUGCUUCGGGCCCAGAGACCGGGCCUAGCCCUCAAUUAUUAUAAGGAGGCUGGACUAUGGAGUGAUGCCCUGCGGAUCUGCAAGGACUACGUGCCGGGCCAGCUGGAGGCUCUGCAGGAAGAGUAUGAGCGGGAAGCCACCAAGAAGGGGGCCAGGGGCGUGGAGGGCCUAGUGGACCAAGCUCGACAGUGGGAGCAGGCUGGAGAGUAUAGCCGUGCAGUCGACUGCUACCUCAAGGUGCGGGACUCAGGCAGCAGCAGCCUAGUGGAAAAGUGCUGGAUGAAGGCAGCUGAACUCGCCAUCAAAUUUUUGCCUCCCCAACGCAGUCUGGAAGUAGUUCGGGCUGUGGGACCCCAGCUGAUUGGAAUUGGAAAGCACAGUGCAGCUGCAGAGCUCUACCUGAACCUGGACCUAGUCAAGGAAGCGAUCGACGCUUUCAUCGAGGGUGAGGAGUGGAACAAGGCUAAGCGCGUGGCCAAGGAGUUAGAUCCCCGGUAUGAAGACUACGUGGACCAGCAUUAUAAAGAGUUCCUCAAGAACCAGGGCAAAGUGGACUCGCUGGUGGGUGUGGAUGUGGUGGCUGCUUUGGACCUGUACGUGGAGCAGGGCCAGUGGGAUAAGUGCAUUGAAACGGCUACCAAGCAGAACUACAAGAUUCUGCACAAGUACGUGGCUUUGUAUGCGACUCACCUGAUCCGAGAGGGCGGCUACAGGCAGGCACUAGCCCUGUAUGUGCAGCAUGGAGCUCCUGCUAACCCACAGAACUUCAACAUCUACAAAAGGAUCUUCACGGACAUGGUGAGCUCACCUGAGACCAACAGUGCUGAGGCCUAUCACAACUGGGCUGAUCUUCGUGACGUGCUCUUUAACUUGUGUGAAAACCUGGUGAAGUCUAGUGAGGCAAACUCUCCAGCCCAUGAGGAGUUUGAGACGAUGCUGCUGAUUGCUCAUUACUAUGCCACUCGCUCAGCUGCCCAGAGUGUCAAACAGCUGGAAACUGUGGCUGCCAGGCUUUCUGUUUCGCUCUUACGCCAUACCCAACUCCUACCUGCAGACAAGGCCUUCUAUGAAGCAGGCAUUGCUGCCAAGGCAGUUGGCUGGGAGAACAUGGCAUUCAUCUUCCUCAACCGCUUUUUGGAUCUGACUGAUGCAAUCGAAGAAGGGACUCUGGAUGCCCUUGACCACUCUGACUUUCAGGAUACAGACAUUCCCUUUGAGGUGCCACUCCCAGCCAAGCAGCACAUACCGUGAAAGUAGAAGCAGAGAAAAAAGAAAACUAAGGUGGUGACCAUGAACCCCAUCCAAGGAGGAUCAUGUAUGGGUAAAAGAUGAUGCACAGGACAACAGUUAAGUAAGACUUCAAACUCCCCACCUUCCACUUGCCCUGCCCUGCGUGAAGCUGCUGCUCCUUCUGUCCUUCCCAGGAGGCUCAGAGGGAAGAGGUUCGAGACUGGGUACUCACAGUCUCAAUGGACCAGCGGCUGGAGCAGGUUUUGCCUCGGGAUGAGCGUGGUGCCUACGAAGCUUCCCUGGUGGCAGCGAGCACUGGAGUUCGGGCACUACCCUGCCUCAUUACAGGAUACCCCAUUCUGAGGAACAAAAUUGAAUUUAAGCGGCCAGGGAAGGCAGCUAACAAGGACAACUGGAAUAAGUUCCUCAUGGCUAUCAAG
Non-coding RNA from Callorhinus ursinus (northern fur seal), 5497 nucleotides. Lineage: Eukaryota; Metazoa; Chordata; Mammalia; Carnivora; Otariidae. The record is from RefSeq and is a predicted model, not a curated record.